CGGACUACUCGGGUAUCUAAUCCUGUUUGCUACCCACGCUUUCGCUCCUCAGCGUCAGUUAUGUGCCAGAUAGUCGCCUUCGCCACUGAUGUUCCUCCAGAUAUCUACGGAUUUCACUCCUACACCUGGAAUUCCACUAUCCUCUCACACACUCCAGUUUGCCAGUUUCAAAGGCAGUUCCCACGUUGAGCGCGGGGAUUUCACCCUUGACUUGACAUACCGCCUACGAGCGCUUUACGCCCAGUAAUUCCGAUUAACGCUCGCACCCUCCGUAUUACUGCGGCUGCUGGCACGGAGUUAGCCGGUGCUUCCUUUGCAGGUACCGUCCUUCCUCUUCCCUGCUAACAGAGCUUUACAAUCCGAAAACCUUCUUCACUCACGCGGCGUUGCUGCAUCAGGG
This 400-nucleotide unclassified non-coding RNA is filed under the name uncultured Desulfovibrionaceae bacterium. RNAcentral describes it as "contains 16S-23S intergenic spacer region". The record is from RNAcentral. Lineage: Bacteria; Pseudomonadati; Thermodesulfobacteriota; Desulfovibrionia; Desulfovibrionales; Desulfovibrionaceae.